This 72-nucleotide transfer RNA is filed under the name Camelus bactrianus (Bactrian camel). It matches the Rfam family "tRNA". From Rfam's summary of the family: Transfer RNA (tRNA) molecules are approximately 80 nucleotides in length. Their secondary structure includes four short double-helical elements and three loops (D, anti-codon, and T loops). RNAcentral also lists the same sequence under 2 other names. The record is from Rfam by way of RNAcentral. Lineage: Eukaryota; Metazoa; Chordata; Mammalia; Artiodactyla; Camelidae.
GCGAGAAUAGCUCAGUGGUAGAGUGUGUGCUUAGCAUGCAUGAGGCCCUGGGUUCAAUCCCCAGUACCUCCA